Molecule: ribosomal RNA, 216 nt
Filed under: Glomeromycotina sp.
Lineage: Eukaryota; Fungi; Glomeromycota
Description: partial small subunit ribosomal RNA
Rfam family: Eukaryotic small subunit ribosomal RNA (bases 40-216)
Source: RNAcentral
GGGUCAGUAGGUUGGUCGUGCCACCGGUACGUACUGGUCUCACUGAUUCCUCCUUCCUGAAGAACCGUAAUGCCAUUAAUUUGGUGUUGCGGGGAAACAGGACAGUUACUUUGAAAAAAUUAGGGUGUUUAAAGCAAGCUAACGCUUGAAUACAUUAGCAUGGAAUAAUGAAAUAGGACGAUCGAUCCUAUUUUGUUGGUUUCUAGGAUUGACGUA